Molecule: unclassified non-coding RNA, 418 nt
Filed under: soil metagenome
Description: partial contains 5.8S ribosomal RNA, internal transcribed spacer 2, and large subunit ribosomal RNA
Rfam family: 5.8S ribosomal RNA (bases 1-120)
Source: RNAcentral
GAUGAAGAACGCAGCGAAAUGCGAUAAGUAAUGUGAAUUGCAGAAUUCAGUGAAUCAUCGAAUCUUUGAACGCAUCUUGCGCUCCUUGGUAUUCCUUGGAGCAUGCCUGUUUGAGUAUCAUGAGCAAACCUCAAAGUCAAUUCCUUUUGUUAAUUCAAUUGGUUUUGCUUUGGACUUGGAGGUCUUGCAGAUUUCACAGUCUGCUCCUCUUAAAUGCAUUAGCUGGAUCUCAGUAAUUAUGCUUGGUUCCGCUCGGCGUGAUAAGUAUCACUCGCUGAGGACACUGUUAAAAAGGUGGCCAGGAAAAUACUGAUUGAACCGCUUCUAACGGUCUAUUAAGUUAGACAAUUACCCUUAAGUUUGAUCUCAAAUCAGGUAGGACUACCCGCUGAACUUAAGCAUAUCAAUAAGCGGAGGA